AGCGAACGCUGGCGGCAGGCCUAACACAUGCAAGUCGAACGAACACUUCGGAGUUAGUGGCGGACGGGUGAGUAACACGUGGGAACGUGCCCUUUGGUACGGAAUAACUCAGGGAAACUUGAGCUAAUACCGUAUGUGCCCUUCGGGGGAAAGAUUUAUCGCCAUUGGAGCGGCCCGCGUCUGAUUAGCUAGUUGGUGAGGUAAAGGCUCACCAAGGCUACGAUCAGUAGCUGGUCUGAGAGGAUGAUCCGCCACAUUGGGACUGAGACACAGCCCAAACUCCUACGGGAGGCAGCAGUGGGGAAUCUUGCGCAAUGGGCGCAAGCCUGACGCAGCCAUGCCGCGUGAAUGAUGAAGGUCUUAGGAUUGUAAAAUUCUUUCUCCGGGGACGAUAAUGACGGUACCCGGAGAAGAAGCCCCGGCUAACUUCGUG
RNAcentral lists this ribosomal RNA (433 nucleotides) under uncultured bacterium. RNAcentral's name for it is "partial 16S ribosomal RNA". It matches the Rfam family "Bacterial small subunit ribosomal RNA", at positions 29 to 507 of the family's 1533-position model. The record is from RNAcentral.